AUGGAGCAUGCGAUGGCAGGACGACGGCGUACGUGGAGCCGCUGGUACAACAUAAUAAUGGAGAAGCCAGUAGAUCAACUCGCGCACCAGCAUCAGCUCACACUACCAAGCUUUACUACUGAUGAUAGUGAGUACAUCCUGACGAUGAGAUGGGACUCGUACCUAGAAGGAGGACGUUCUCAUAAUUGUUAUGUCUUGUACAAGCACAAGCCAAGCAAUGAGGUAAAGAAGCAGGCACGGCAUGGCGUGGUAGAAAUCGGCGAGAGGGACCGCGGCGCUGAGGUUGCUGUUAUACCAACUCACCACAUCCGCCCCCGGACCUUCGCCUACGUCGAAACCACAGAACCUUUGAGUGUUUAUAGAUAA
This 366-nucleotide ribosomal RNA is filed under the name Triticum aestivum (bread wheat). RNAcentral describes it as "partial small subunit ribosomal RNA". Lineage: Eukaryota; Viridiplantae; Streptophyta; Magnoliopsida; Poales; Poaceae. The record is from RNAcentral.